AUACGUAGGUGGCGAGCGUUGUCCGGAUUUACUGGGUGUAAAGGGCGAGUAGGCGGGCUUGCAAGUCAGAUGUGAAAUACCGAGGCUCAACUUCGGGGUUGCAUUUGAAACUGCGAGUCUUGAGUGAUGGAGAGGCAGGCGGAAUUUCCACUGGCGCGGUAAAAUGCAUAGAUAUUGGGAAGAAAACCAGUGGCGAAGGCGGCCUGCUGGACAUUAACUGACGCUGAGGAGCGAAAGUGUGGGGAGCAAACAGGAUUAGAUACCCUGGUAGUCCACACCGUAAACGAUGGAUACUAGGUGUGCGGGGACUGACCCCCUGCGUGCCGCAGUUAACACAAUAAGUAUCCCACCUGGGGAGUACGAUCGCAAGAUUGAAACUCAAAGGAAUUGACGGGG
RNAcentral lists this ribosomal RNA (396 nucleotides) under uncultured bacterium. RNAcentral's name for it is "partial 16S ribosomal RNA". It matches the Rfam family "Bacterial small subunit ribosomal RNA", at positions 523 to 918 of the family's 1533-position model. The record is from RNAcentral.